RNAcentral lists this ribosomal RNA (761 nucleotides) under Microbacterium aurantiacum. RNAcentral's name for it is "partial 16S ribosomal RNA". It matches the Rfam family "Bacterial small subunit ribosomal RNA", at positions 48 to 822 of the family's 1533-position model. Lineage: Bacteria; Bacillati; Actinomycetota; Actinomycetes; Micrococcales; Microbacteriaceae. The record is from RNAcentral.
UUAACACAUGCAAGUCGAACGGUGAAGCCAAGCUUGCUUGGUGGAUCAGUGGCGAACGGGUGAGUAACACGUGAGCAACCUGCCCUGGACUCUGGGAUAAGCGCUGGAAACGGCGUCUAAUACUGGAUAUGAGCUCUUACCGCAUGGUGGGGGUUGGAAAGAUUUUUUGGUCUGGGAUGGGCUCGCGGCCUAUCAGCUUGUUGGUGAGGUAAUGGCUCACCAAGGCGUCGACGGGUAGCCGGCCUGAGAGGGUGACCGGCCACACUGGGACUGAGACACGGCCCAGACUCCUACGGGAGGCAGCAGUGGGGAAUAUUGCACAAUGGGCGCAAGCCUGAUGCAGCAACGCCGCGUGAGGGAUGACGGCCUUCGGGUUGUAAACCUCUUUUAGCAGGGAAGAAGCGAAAGUGACGGUACCUGCAGAAAAAGCGCCGGCUAACUACGUGCCAGCAGCCGCGGUAAUACGUAGGGCGCAAGCGUUAUCCGGAAUUAUUGGGCGUAAAGAGCUCGUAGGCGGUUUGUCGCGUCUGCUGUGAAAUCCCGAGGCUCAACCUCGGGCCUGCAGUGGGUACGGGCAGACUAGAGUGCGGUAGGGGAGAUUGGAAUUCCUGGUGUAGCGGUGGAAUGCGCAGAUAUCAGGAGGAACACCGAUGGCGAAGGCAGAUCUCUGGGCCGUAACUGACGCUGAGGAGCGAAAGGGUGGGGAGCAAACAGGCUUAGAUACCCUGGUAGUCCACCCCGUAAACGUUGGGAACUAGUUG